This 640-nucleotide ribosomal RNA is filed under the name uncultured bacterium. RNAcentral's name for it is "bacterial SSU rRNA". It matches the Rfam family "Bacterial small subunit ribosomal RNA", at positions 232 to 885 of the family's 1533-position model. The record is from RNAcentral.
CGCGGCCUAUCAGCUUGUUGGUGAGGUAACGGCUCACCAAGGCAAUGACGGGUAGCUGGUCUGAGAGGACGAUCAGCCACACUGGAACUGAGAUACGGUCCAGACUCCUACGGGAGGCAGCAGCAGGGAAUCUUGCGCAAUGGGCGAAAGCCUGACGCAGCGACGCCGCGUGGGGGAUGAAGGCCUUAGGGUUGUAAACUCCUUUCACGAGGGAAGAAGAUGACGGUACCUCGAGAAGAAGCCCCGGCCAACUACGUGCCAGCAGCCGCGGUAAGACGUGGGGGGCGAGCGUUGUCCGGAUUUAUUGGGCGUAAAGGGCUCGUAGGCGGCUUGACAAGUCGGCCGUGAAAACCCAGGGCUCAACCCUGGGACGCCGGUCGAUACUGUCAUGGCUAGGGUCCGGUAGAGGGGAAUGGAAUUCCCGGUGUAGCGGUGAAAUGCGCAGAUAUCGGGAGGAACACCAGUAGCGAAGGCGGUUCCCUGGGCCGGUACCGACGCUGAGGAGCGAAAGCGUGGGUAGCAAACAGGAUUAGAUACCCUGGUAGUCCACGCCGUAAACGUUGGGUACUAGGCGUGGCGUCUUAUCAACGGAUGCCGUGCUCGAAGCUAACGCGUUAAGUACCCCGCCUGGGGAGUACGG